This 238-nucleotide ribosomal RNA is filed under the name uncultured bacterium. RNAcentral describes it as "partial 16S ribosomal RNA". It matches the Rfam family "Bacterial small subunit ribosomal RNA", at positions 96 to 334 of the family's 1533-position model. The record is from RNAcentral.
UGGCGGACGGGUGAGUAACGCGUGGGUAACCUGCCUUGUACAGGGGGAUAACAGUCAGAAAUGACUGCUAAUACCGCAUAAGCGCACAGGACCGCAUGGUCCGGUGUGAAAAACUCCGGUGGUAUAAGAUGGACCCGCGUUGGAUUAGCUAGUUGGUGAGGUAACGGCCCACCAAGGCGACGAUCCAUAGCCGGCCUGAGAGGGUGAACGGCCACAUUGGGACUGAGACACGGCCCAG